CCGCCCCCGCCCCCUUCCCUCCCGAGACGCUCCAUCCGGGGCGCCGGGAGGGCCGCGCGGUGCCCUGUGCCCGGGACGCACCGCUUUCUUCCCCCGCCGGCUCCCCGGGUCCGCUGGGAGGGCGGCCUCGGGACGGAGGAGACGACGAUGCCUUCACGUCGUGCAGCCAUCACCACUGUCCUGGUCCAUGCAGGCUGCUCAUGACUCAUUCACAGAACACCACAGUUCAGGAGGCUGGGAAUUCCCAGAUCAAGGUGCCAACACGGCUGGGUUCUGGGAGAGUGUUUGGGGCUGAAAAAUCUCUGGACCUACUCCCCAACACUCAGUGGCUGGCAUUCCAUGACCUAAGGGGUGGCCUGUCUGAAAGAAAGACAGUGCCCCAAGCCCUACUUUGAAAAAUGCUGCCAGUAGUAGCAGAAUUGGCCCUGCUGCUGUCUGUGACCAAGAGGAGACUUUCCUGAAACACCAGGGGCAAACUGGCCCCCAGAUAGAUCUUCAGGCUCUAACCACCGGAGAAAGCAACCCUGAUACCUUUCUAAGCCACACCAUGGGAUGUGGGAAACUGACAAAGAGAGCUUGGAUUCAUCUGGGUGACAUGAGAUCACACUGUCUGGAAAGAAUCCAGGACACGAGCAGCAGCCUUCAACGGAGAGAGCCCAAGUCCAAGCACAGGCUCGCUUCCUCAUCAGCCCGGUGGGUGACUUUACUCAAGUCGCUUACCCUCUGGGAGUUUCAGUUAUGCUGUCACAAAAUGAGGGUCACUCCAGGGAUCACACGAGCCAAUAGGUGGAAGCAUUUAGACAACUUGACACUUUCCAGACAGAGGCAAGCAGCAGUGCCGUAUCUGGGGGCCCACUUUCAGAGGAUCCACUGGAGCCAGAGCGUGAUUCAGUCUGGCAGACCAGAGAUUAUUUAAUUUUUCUAAUAUAUUGGGGCCUUCUGUCUUCUGACUAGUAAUAAAUCACGUUCUUCUUAUGCAAAAAAAAGUCAAAUCUAAACCAAAUGUGAGCAAGAGUGUGUGGUGCAAGGCUGAGAACGUGGAACUGAAUCAUGAGAUUUGAGGAUUAUAAACACAGCAGGCCACAGGGUUCUUUUCAAGGGACGACAUUCAAUUCCUUCGUGGGGCUGCUUCCCAGAGAAGGAGCAAUCUGGCAAGGUAAAGAAAACGUGCCAUUCCAGUUCAGUUUUAACCCUGAGAGAAAUCCAUUCUUGACGCACACUUGUGGUGUGAAUUCUACAUAUGCAAAUGAGCAAUGGUGAAAAGGCUCUUGGGAAAUAAUUAUUAGUGAAGUCUAAAUAAACUGGUAAUUUGGAAAGUAAUCUUCAUGAUAAAUAAACGACGUUCCAUAACUAAUUAGUUUUGAGCUAACCAAGUGUGAUUACAGAGCUGAGCUUUUAGGGUUACUGAGGCUUUCAAAUUUUGGCAAAUAAAGUAGUUGGUGUGGCUGCUGCAUCCUGAGAAUGCCAAGGGGACAAGGCACCCCUGGAUCCUAGAUGUGACGGUGUCAGUUGACACAGUCCUCUGGAAGUGAAAAUGGUAUACUAAGAGACCCAAAUUGCAUAAUUGGAUGGUAACUAAUUUAGAAAUGUGAUUUUUUGAAGAUGAAAUUUGAAUUAAUGGUGUGUGACUUUGUGUAGCAAGCUAAUUGGAAGAAAGACAAGUCAAAGAGUAUAUUGUAUGCACUAUUACUUAAAAGAAAUGUAACUGUAUUCCUUUUAUGUACAUGUUAUAACUAAAAUUCUUAUUUACUUAUCUUUUUUGCACUUCAUACAAAUUGCUUAGUUAAAUAUUUAUUGGAAGGCUCUAAGGGAUCUGCAUCAAUAAAC
RNAcentral lists this long non-coding RNA (1827 nucleotides) under Equus caballus (horse). Its description in RNAcentral is "lncRNA (ENSECAG00000052667.1)". Lineage: Eukaryota; Metazoa; Chordata; Mammalia; Perissodactyla; Equidae. The record is from RNAcentral.